GAUGAACGCUAGCGCCAGCAGGCUUAACACAUGCAAGUCGAGGGGUAUAGGUUUUCGGACCUAGAGACCGGCGCACGGGUGCGUAACGCGUAUGCAAUCUACCUUUUACGGCAGAGGGAUAGCCCAGAGAAAUUUGGAUUAAUACCUCAUAGUAUUAUUGAAUGGCAUCAUUUAAUAAUUAAAGUCACAACGGUAAAAGAUGACCAGCAUGCGUCCCAUUAGCUUGUUGGUAAGGUAACGGCUUACCAAGGCAACGAUGGGUAGGGGUCCUGAGGGGGAGAUCCCCCACACUGGUAUGACUGAGACACGGACCAGACUCCUACGGGAGGCAGCAGUGAGGAAUAUUGGUCAAUGGGCGCAAGCCUGAACCAGCCAUGCCGCGUGCAGGAUGGGGACGGUCCUAUGGAUUGUAAACUGCUUUUGUACAGGAAGAAACAGUUCUACGUGUAGAACCUUGACGGUACUGUAAGAAUAAGGAUCGGCUGCAAACUCCGUGCCAGCAGCCGCGGUAAUACGGAGGAUCCAAGCGUUAUCCGGAAUCAUUGGGUUUAAAGGGUCCGUAGGCGGUUUUGUAAGUCCCCAGUGGUGAAAGCCCAUCGCUCAACGGUGGAACGGCCAUUGAUACUGCAAGACUUGAAUUAUUAGGAAGUAACUAGAAUAUGUAGUGUAGCGACAGUGAAAUGCUUAGAGAUUACAUGGAAUACCAAUUGCGAAGGCAGGUUACUACUAAUGGAUUGACGCUGAUGGACGAAAGCGUGGGGAGCGAGUAACGGGAUUAGAUACCCUGGUAGUCCACGCCGUAAACGAUGGAUACUAGCUGUUCGGAGCAAUCUGAGUGGCUAAGCGAAAGUGAUAAGUAUGUCCCCACCUGGGGAGUACGUUCGCAAGAAUGAAACUCAAAGGAAUUGACGGGGGCCCGCACAAGCGGUGGAGCAUGUGGUUUAAUUCGAUGAUUUCACGCGAGGAACCUUACCAAGGUUUGACAUGGACGGAAAUCUCGCAGAGAUGCGGGGUCCUUCGGGGCCGUUCACAGGUGGUGCAUGGCUGUCGUCGUCAGCUCGUGUCGUGAGAUGUUGGGUUAAGUCCCGCAACGAGCGCAACCCUCGUUCCAUGUUGCCAGCGGGUUAUGCCGGGGACUCAUGUGAGGAGACUGCCGGGGUCAACUCGGAGGAAGGUGGGGAUGACGUCAAGUCAUCAUGCCCCUUAUGUCCAGGGCUUCACGCAUGCUACAAUGGCUCGCGGUACAAUGGGCUGCGAUACCGUGAGGUGGAGCGAAUCCCAAAAAGCCGGUCUCAGUUCGGAUCGGGGUCUGCAACUCGACCCCGUGAAGAUUUCGGAGUCGCUAGUAAUCGCAGAUCAGCAACGCUGCGGUGAAUACGUUCCCGGGCCUUGUACACACCGCCCGUCACGUCACGAAAGUCGGCGGUAACACCCGAAGCCCAUGGCCCAACCCGUAAGGGAGGGAGUGGUCGAAGGUGGGGCUGGCGAUUGGGACG
Molecule: ribosomal RNA, 1496 nt
Filed under: uncultured bacterium
Lineage: Bacteria
Description: bacterial SSU rRNA
Rfam family: Bacterial small subunit ribosomal RNA
Source: RNAcentral